Non-coding RNA from Camelus dromedarius (Arabian camel), 150 nucleotides. Lineage: Eukaryota; Metazoa; Chordata; Mammalia; Artiodactyla; Camelidae. The record is from Ensembl.
AGGCUUGGUUUUCUGGGGGGUGGGCUCAGCCUGGCCCACCUCCCUUCAGACUAGUUUCCGACAGAGAUGCCCAGCCUCCUCUCUCACGAGAGAGGCAGAGGUGGUUAAGGCAGGAGCUUCACUCACCUGGGUUGUCCUUGCCUCACAUUC